Molecule: ribosomal RNA, 371 nt
Filed under: Methylosinus trichosporium
Lineage: Bacteria; Pseudomonadati; Pseudomonadota; Alphaproteobacteria; Hyphomicrobiales; Methylocystaceae
Description: bacterial SSU rRNA
Rfam family: Bacterial small subunit ribosomal RNA
Source: RNAcentral
GCGAACGCUGGCGGCAGGCUUAACACAUGCAAGUCGAACGCCCGUAGCAAUACGGGAGUGGCAGACGGGUGAGUAACGCGUGGGAACGUACCCUUUGGUUCGGAAUAACUCAGGGAAACUUGAGCUAAUACCGGAUAAGCCCUUUUGGGGAAAAGAUUUAUUCGCCGAAGGAUCGGCCCGCGUCCGAUUAGCUAGUUGGUGUGGUAACGGCGCACCAAGGCGACGAUCGGUAGCUGGUCUGAGAGGAUGAUCAGCCACACUGGGACUGAGACACGGCCCAGACUCCUACGGGGAGGCAGCAGUGGGGAAUAUUGGGACAAUGGGGGCAACCCUGAUCCAGCCAUUCCGCGUGAGUGAAGAAGGCCUCGGUU